RNAcentral lists this ribosomal RNA (308 nucleotides) under uncultured bacterium. RNAcentral describes it as "partial 16S ribosomal RNA". It matches the Rfam family "Bacterial small subunit ribosomal RNA", at positions 505 to 807 of the family's 1533-position model. The record is from RNAcentral.
GAGACAGCAGCAGCCGCGGUAAUACGAAGGGGGCUAGCGUUGUUCGGAUUUACUGGGCGUAAAGGGCGCGUAGGCGGCGAUCAAAGUCAGGCGUGAAAUUCCUGGGCUCAACCUGGGGGCUGCGUUUGAUACUUGAUUGCUAGAGUGGGGAAGAGGGUCGUGGAAUUCCCAGUAUAGAGGUGAAAUUCGUAGAUAUUGGGAAGAACACCGGUGGCGAAGGCGGCGACCUGGUCCUUGACUGACGCUGAGGCGCGAAAGCGUGGGGAGCAAACAGGAUUAGAUACCCCAGUAGUCCCUGUCUCUUAUAC